Non-coding RNA from Paramuricea clavata, 720 nucleotides. NCBI's taxonomy places the organism in Eukaryota, Metazoa, Cnidaria, Anthozoa, Malacalcyonacea, Plexauridae. The record is from the annotation of a GenBank genome assembly.
GAGAGAAGUGGGUCUGAGACUAAUGAUGAAAUGAAAGCUAUGUUUGCAAACAGACAGUCUAAAGGCAAGGGUCCCAAAUGUUACUAUUGUGGAAAGUUUGGACACAUUAAACGAAACUGUCGAGAACUGAAUAGUCUAAAACAUGAUGGGGACAAAAGUGAGUUUAAUGAGGGUAUUGACAACAAACAUAAAGCUAACACUGCAGCCAAAUCCAGACGAACAGACAGCAGCUCAGAUAGUGAUGAAGUGGGAUUGAUGGUGAAUCAUGCAUUUAGUUCUGUAAACGGGAGAACAAAUACAUGGAUAAUUAAUUCUGGAGCAACUUGUCAUAUGUGCAAUGAUGUGAGUCAGUUUGUGGAAUUGCAUAACUUGCAAAAGCCUGAAGAUGUCACUUAUGGAGAUGGUCAUGUUGUUAAAGCAACUGGACGGGGAGUCGUUAAAACAAAAAUAGAGUCUCCAAAUGGCCAAGAGGGAAAGAGUUGUGUACUGCAAGAUGUUCUUUAUGUUCCAAGCUUAUCGUAUAACCUAGUGAGCGUGUCUAAAGCUACAAAGUCUGGAAAGACUGUGAAGUUUAAUGAAGAUGGAUGUCACAUUCUUGAUGAAAGUCAAAAGCUGAUUGCCACUGCUAAAAAAGUAGGAAACCUGUAUUACCUGAAUUGCACGAACAGUCAUCAAGCAAACCCUACUGUAGGAUAUUCAAGCAUGGGAAGCAAAGAGGUC